AGUGAACGCUGGCGGCAGGCCUAACACAUGCAAGUCGAGCGGCAGCGGGUUCCCGCGAGGGGAUGCCGGCGAGCGGCGGACGGGUGAGGAACACAUCGGAAUCUGCCUGGUUGUGGGGGAUAACGUAGGGAAACUUACGCUAAUACCGCAUGCGACCCUGAGUCGACGGACUGGGGGUGAAAGUGAGGGACCUUCGGCCGUCACGCGACCAGAUGAGCCGAUGUCGGAUAGCUAGUUGGCGGGGUAACGGCCCGCCAAGGCGACGAUCCGUAGCUGGUCUGAGAGGAUGAUCAGCCACACUGGGACUGAGACACGGCCCAGACUCCUACGGGAGGCG
Molecule: ribosomal RNA, 337 nt
Filed under: uncultured bacterium
Lineage: Bacteria
Description: bacterial SSU rRNA
Rfam family: Bacterial small subunit ribosomal RNA
Source: RNAcentral